AUAGUCAAUCUUUUUCUCCCUUUGACUCGGAAACCCUCAUAAUUAGCACUCUGAAUCGGCCUUUCAAUAAUUGAAUCGGUCAUGUACGAGACCCUCUCCCCACAUUGGUCCAUACCUAGGUAAAAAGGAAUCGAGUCUUAGUCAUCACUCCUCAGUCGAUUUCAAAACAUAACUCCAUAUUCAAGGGUAUAGCUUUUGGGUAGAAGUUGUUAUGAUUUCAAGACCUAAACAUCAUAUUCAUAAACUGCUACUCUGCAUUCAAGAUAGAUGGUGGCAACAAUGCAUACCAGUAAUUUUCUUUUUUAAUCAUUCGCCUUAAGCAGCUUUCAAAGCUAGAGAGUAUCUUGAUAAGCCUGUAAUACAUAAGACAAUGAUGAAAGUAUGUAAGUUAUAUCUUAGAUUUCCUAUGUAAAUAGGGCUAACUUUGUGCUGAUGUCAUUAUGUUAGUGUUUUUCUUCUUAGAGAAUAGAACCUUCUUUUGGGCAGACAACCUGUUUGUAGUCUAAAUGACAUUUUUGUCAUUUUACAUGCCCUUCUAAAUCCUGUCUAUAAAUCGAAUGGAAAAAUCAUAUUUUGAAGGUGGAAACAUUAAAGGAAUAGUUGCAGAGGGAAAGAGAGUUGAGGAAACUGCUUGAGGCUGGAUGCACAAUGUCAGAGAAGAUGUUACCUUUACCAGGCUCCAUUGAUGAAAGUAUGUUACAGUCUUUUCUUAAGUCUUUUUUUGAAGUAUUUUUUUCAUUUAAUUGGAUGUAUGGCAUGUUUCGGAAGAUCUAUGUGUAUUUUAUUCAAAACUUGCCAAGUUUGUUGCCAAGUUGAGAGAGAUGAAACAGAUGAGUAAGUAUUGUUGUUUAAAUUUGAGGUGGGAGUAUGCUACUUCUCAAAGUCAGAAAGGUAAUAAUUUUAUAUCA
Molecule: non-coding RNA, 908 nt
Organism: Lactuca sativa (garden lettuce)
Lineage: Eukaryota; Viridiplantae; Streptophyta; Magnoliopsida; Asterales; Asteraceae
Source: RefSeq, a predicted model, not a curated record